CACGUAGUUAGCCGUGACUGCCUCGCCGGGUACCAUCACUCAGAAAGCUUUCCACUCUUUCUGCCUUUUGUCCCCGGCAACAGAGCUUUACGAUCCGAAGACCUUCCUCGCUCACGCGGCAUUGCUCGUUCAGGGUUCCCCCCAUUGACGAAAAUUCCCUACUGCUGCCUCCCGCAGGAGUCUGGGCCGUGUCUCAGUCCCAGUGUGGCCGUCCGCCCUCUCAGGCCGGCUAUGCAUCGUCGCCUUGGUGAGCCGUUACCUCUCCAACCAGCUAAUGCACCGCAGGUCCAUCUGCAUGCGGGACUCUUGUCCCCUUUUACAAAAAGAGAUGCCUCCUCUUUGCUCAUCCGGUAUCAGCUUCCGUUCCAGAAGUUCUCCGCUCAUGCAGGCAGGUUCCCUAGUGUUACUCACCCGUUCGCCCACUUCAUAUCCGAAGAUACUCCGUUCGACCUUUGCCUAUGUUAUUAGGGCCUAGUCGCCCGCCAGGUCCGUUCAU
This 496-nucleotide ribosomal RNA is filed under the name uncultured Bacillota bacterium. RNAcentral's name for it is "uncultured Firmicutes bacterium partial 16S ribosomal RNA". The record is from RNAcentral. Lineage: Bacteria; Bacillati; Bacillota.